RNAcentral lists this long non-coding RNA (727 nucleotides) under Salmo salar (Atlantic salmon). RNAcentral's name for it is "lncRNA (ENSSSAG00000088721.1)". Lineage: Eukaryota; Metazoa; Chordata; Actinopteri; Salmoniformes; Salmonidae. The record is from RNAcentral.
GCCUGACCACUUCUCUAAGGUUAAGAGGUCCAAAUUGUGCCCAUUUGUAUAGAUACUGUAAAUAGACUGUGUAUUCUGAGAAGAGCAGAUGAUAGAGAAGAGAAUAGAGAAGAUGAUAGAGAAGAUGAUAGAGAAGAGAAUAGAGAAGAGGAUAGAGAAGAUGAUAGAGAAGAGGAUAGAGAAGAUGAUAGAGAAGAGGAUAGAGAAGAGGAUAGAGAAGAGGAUAGAGAAGAGGAUAGAGAAGAUGAUAGAGAAGAGAAUAGAGAAGAUGAUAGAGAAGAUGAUAGAGAAGAUGAUAGAGAAGAGAAUAGAGAAGAUGAUAGAGAAGAUGAUAGAGAAGGGAAUAGAGAAGAUGAUAGAGAAGAGAAUAGAGAAGAGGAUAGAGAAGAUGAUAGAGAAGAGAAUAGAGAAGAUGAUAGAGAAGAGAAUAGAGAAGAUGAUAGAGAAGAUGAUAGAGAAGGGAAUAGAGAAGAUAAUAGAGAAGAUGAUAGAGAAGAGGAUAGAGAAGAUGAUAGAGAAGAGAAUAGAGAAGAUAAUAGAGAAGAGAAUAGAGAAGAUGAUAGAGAAGAUGAUAGAGAAGGGAAUAGAGAAGAUGAUAGAGAAGAUGAUAGAGAAGAUGAUAGAGAAGGGAAUAGAGAAGAGGAUAGAGCAGGGGGAUAGAGAAGAGGAUAGAGCAGGGGAUAGAGAAGAGGAUAGAGUAGGGGAUAGAGAAGAGGAUAGAGCAGGG